UCUAGGAGCUCCAGCCUCGGGAGCGUCUUGGCCAGGAGCGGCACGUAGCUCUGCUCCAGCCGUGCGGAAGCACUGAUGAGCGUUGGCAACGUGACCCAGCUCGUGACUGGCCAAAUGAGGUCUCGGGGUCCCCUUCAGUGAAAAUUACUGGAACCGUCUCCAAGCAGCUGAGGAUCCAGGCGCUGACCCACUACUUGGUGAUAUGAAGUUGCCACACAGCACUCUCCACCCAGCCUUGAUCCUGUGCCACGGUUAAGAACUGAAGCUCCAAAAAUCAGCUUUUAAAUGCUCUUCCAUCAUUCAAAAUCGUCAGUGAUUCUCCUGACUCUGAGGAGAAAAGUUAGUCUCUCCUCCACCUCCUUCCUCAUCGCCUAUUCCUCUGCCCUCUGCUGCUUCAAAGCCUGACCCCCUUCGCUGUCCUCAGUCUAGGCACUGAACCCCAGCCCAGACCCUUCACACUGACUCUGCCCUCUUUCCAGAAGAGUCUUUUGAUCUCAGCCGGCCCAGGACCUGCUUAUCUUCUUAUGUUCACAGACAGAAUGUCCCUUCAGAGCCAGCGGGAGUGUGUGCUGGAGGUUGCCAGAGGGAGCUCUCUGCCCUUACCUGCCACCCAGCCAACUCUACAUUGCUAGAUUUGACCACCAAGGCUAUAGGGUAUCAGACAACGUUCCCAGGCCACACCUGAGGCGAACAAGUCCUUUACGCUUCAGGCCCCAGAUUUACCUAGGUGACCGUCCCCAGUCCAAUCCACGUGGGAAAAUGGGGGCAGGGGUGGAAUGAGAUCUCAUUUCCCUCCUAUCUUCUUUCUCUUCCCUGACCAGCUGUUCUUCUGAAACCAUUGAUUAGACCUUGUCGGAUUCUUCUGUUCUGUUCUGUUUUGAGACAGGGUUUCAUUACGUAGUCCAGGCUGGCCUAGAACUUACUAUGUAGACCAAGCUAGCCUUGAACUUGAGAUGACUCUCCUGCCUCUAUGCCCCCACCCCACCCCUUACUUAAGAAAAGACUUUUUUGUUGUUUUCAUUUGGGGGUGGGUUGGUUGGUUGGUUGGUUGGUUGGUUGGUUGGUUGGGUUUUGGGUUUUUGGGACAUGGUUUCUUUGUGUAGCCCUGACUGUUCUGGAACUCUAGAGAUCAGGCUGGCCUUGAACUCACACCUGCCUCUGCCUCCUCGUGCUGGAAUUAAAGGCAUGCACACCGCA
Molecule: long non-coding RNA, 1197 nt
Organism: Meriones unguiculatus (Mongolian gerbil)
Lineage: Eukaryota; Metazoa; Chordata; Mammalia; Rodentia; Muridae
Exons: 2
Source: RefSeq, a predicted model, not a curated record